RNAcentral lists this long non-coding RNA (419 nucleotides) under Phoenix dactylifera (date palm). RNAcentral's name for it is "long non-coding RNA (PDAC_LNC003622)". Lineage: Eukaryota; Viridiplantae; Streptophyta; Magnoliopsida; Arecales; Arecaceae. The record is from RNAcentral.
UCUGUCCUUCAUGAAGUCUUUACCUCCAGGGUUUCUGCUAGCAAUACUUCUCAUGCUACUCAGCCUGCUGGUUUUCUCUCCGAAUAACGCCGAAGCAGCAGCAAGUACUCUAAAAUCCUUUAUACUGCAAUAUAUAUAUAUAUAUAUCCUACUUUAUCACUGGCUUUGGCUUGACUCUCGUAUUGAUUUACUUUUUCAGGAGAUGUUCCUGGGAACUCGAUGAAUUCUACCAGUUGCACCAACUGUGGAGGUGUGCUUCCAUGGCGGUUGCGCAGAAUUUUGAGAAGCCCAAUGUAUGCUCCACCAUCGCCCAAAAAAGCAACUUCUCCGGGUGUUGGGCAUUAGAACGAUUAGUGAAUUUGUGUUGACAUGAGAACUUGAGAAGUUGUAGUGGGUACAUGGGGACUGUUUCAGCAAAC